UAGGGAAUCUUCCACAAUGGACGCAAGUCUGAUGGAGCAACGCCGCGUGAGUGAAGAAGGUUUUCGGACCGUAAAGCUCUGUUGUUGGUGAAGAAGGAUAGAGGUAGUAACUGGCCUUUAUUUGACGGUAAUCAACCAGAAAGUCACGGCUAACUACGUGCCAGCAGCCGCGGUAAUCGUAGGUGGCAAGCGUUGUCCGGAUUUAUUGGGCGUAAAGCGAGCGCAGGCGGAAGAAUAAGUCUGAUGUGAAAGCCCUCGGCUUAACCGAGGAAUUGCAUCGGAAACUGUUUUUCUUGAGUGCAGAAGAGGAGAGUAGAACUCCAUGUGUAGCGGUGGAAUGCGUAGAUAUAUGGAAGAAUACCAGUGGCGAAGGCGGCUCUCUGGUCUGCAACUGACGCUGAGGCUCGAAAGCAUGGGUAGCGAACAGGAUUAGAUACCCUGGUAGUCCAUGCCGUAAACGAUGAGUGCUAAGUGUUGGGAGGCUUCCGCCUCUCAGUGCUGCAGCUAACGCAUUAAGCACUCCGCCUGGGGGAGUACGACCGCAAGGUU
RNAcentral lists this ribosomal RNA (549 nucleotides) under uncultured bacterium. Its description in RNAcentral is "partial 16S ribosomal RNA". It matches the Rfam family "Bacterial small subunit ribosomal RNA", at positions 355 to 895 of the family's 1533-position model. The record is from RNAcentral.